AUUGAACGCUGGCGGCAGGUCUAACACAUGCAAGUCGAACGGUAACAGGAAGAAGCUUGCUUCUUUGCUGACGAGUGGCGGACGGGUGAGUAAUGUCUGGGAAACUGCCUGAUGGAGGGGGAUAACUACUGGAAACGGUAGCUAAUACCGCAUAACGUCGCAAGACCAAAGAGGGGGACCUUCGGGCCUCUUGCCAUCGGAUGUGCCCAGAUGGGAUUAGCUAGUAGGUGGGGUAACGGCUCACCUAGGCGACGAUCCCUAGCUGGUCUGAGAGGAUGACCAGCCACACUGGAACUGAGACACGGUCCAGACUCCUACGGGAGGCAGCAGUGGGGAAUAUUGCACAAUGGGCGCAAGCCUGAUGCAGCCAUGCCGCGUGUAUGAAGAAGGCCUUCGGGUUGUAAAGUACUUUCAGCGGGGAGGAAGGGAGUAAAGUUAAUACCUUUGCUCAUUGACGUUACCCGCAGAAGAAGCACCGGCUAACUCCGUG
RNAcentral lists this ribosomal RNA (490 nucleotides) under uncultured bacterium. RNAcentral describes it as "partial 16S ribosomal RNA". It matches the Rfam family "Bacterial small subunit ribosomal RNA", at positions 30 to 507 of the family's 1533-position model. The record is from RNAcentral.